RNAcentral lists this transfer RNA (76 nucleotides) under Acinetobacter baumannii 1295743. RNAcentral describes it as "tRNA-Gly". It matches the Rfam family "tRNA". Rfam says of the family: Transfer RNA (tRNA) molecules are approximately 80 nucleotides in length. Their secondary structure includes four short double-helical elements and three loops (D, anti-codon, and T loops). The record is from RNAcentral. Lineage: Bacteria; Pseudomonadati; Pseudomonadota; Gammaproteobacteria; Moraxellales; Moraxellaceae.
GCGGGAAUAGCUCAGUUGGUAUAGCAUAACCUUGCCAAGGUUGGGGUCGCGAGUUCGAGUCUCGUUUCCCGCUCCA